GUAAGGGUGAAACGGUGGUGUAAGAGACCACCAGCGUCCCGGGUGACCGGGGCGGCUCGGCAAACCCCACCCGGAGCAAGGCCAAGCAGGGACAGGAUUGCCCGUCCGCUACAUCCCAGGUGGGCCGCACGAGGCCGGUGGCAACACCGGUCCCAGAUAGAUGGCCGUCCCCGGGGAGAACCCGGGACAGAAUCCGGCUUACAGGCGAACUCAGAGC
This 217-nucleotide RNase P RNA is filed under the name Actinomycetota bacterium. Its description in RNAcentral is "partial RNase P RNA component class A". It matches the Rfam family "Bacterial RNase P class A", at positions 148 to 367 of the family's 367-position model. Rfam says of the family: Ribonuclease P (RNase P) is a ubiquitous endoribonuclease, found in archaea, bacteria and eukarya as well as chloroplasts and mitochondria. Its best characterised activity is the generation of mature 5'-ends of tRNAs by cleaving the 5'-leader elements of precursor-tRNAs. Cellular RNase Ps are ribonucleoproteins. Lineage: Bacteria; Bacillati; Actinomycetota. The record is from RNAcentral.